RNAcentral lists this ribosomal RNA (406 nucleotides) under uncultured bacterium. RNAcentral's name for it is "partial 16S ribosomal RNA". It matches the Rfam family "Bacterial small subunit ribosomal RNA", at positions 29 to 526 of the family's 1533-position model. The record is from RNAcentral.
AUUGAACGCUGGCGGCAGGCCUAACACAUGCAAGUCGAGCGAGCGGCGGACGGGUGAGUAAUGUCUGGGGACCUGCCUGACAGAGGGGGAUAACUACUGGAAACGGUGGCUAAUACCGCAUACUAUCGGAUGUGCCCAUAUGGGAUUAGCUAGUAGGGGGGGUAAAGGAACACCUAGGCGACGAUCCCUAGCUGGGCUGUGAGGAUGAGCAGCAACACUAGGACUGAGACACGGCCCAGACUCCUACGGGAGGGAGCAGAGGGGAAUAUUGUACAAUGGGCGCAAGCCUGAUGCAGCCCUGCCGCGUGUAUGAAGAAGGCCUUCGGGUUGUAAAGUACUUUCAGCGGGGAGGCGUUACCCGCAGAAGAAGCAACGGCUAACUCCGUGCCAGCAGCCGCGGUAAUUC